GUAUAGCCCUGAUCGCAAUGGCAUCCUCUUGUAGCAUUUCUUUAAGCUACAAGAGAUAUAAUGGAGAGCAGGACAAAAC
RNAcentral lists this small RNA (79 nucleotides) under Flavobacterium sp. 9R. RNAcentral's name for it is "Flavo-1". It matches the Rfam family "Flavo-1 RNA". The record is from RNAcentral. Lineage: Bacteria; Pseudomonadati; Bacteroidota; Flavobacteriia; Flavobacteriales; Flavobacteriaceae.